RNAcentral lists this ribosomal RNA (301 nucleotides) under uncultured bacterium. RNAcentral describes it as "partial 16S ribosomal RNA". It matches the Rfam family "Bacterial small subunit ribosomal RNA", at positions 509 to 807 of the family's 1533-position model. The record is from RNAcentral.
CAGUAGCCACGGUAAUACAGAGGGUGCAAGCGUUAAUCGGAAUUACUGGGCGUAAAGCGCGCGUAGGUGGUUUGUUAAGUUGGAUGUGAAAGCCCCGGGCUCAACCUGGGAACUGCAUCCAAAACUGGCAAGCUAGAGUACGGUAGAGGGUGGUGGAAUUUCCUGUGUAGCGGUGAAAUGCGUAGAUAUAGGAAGGAACACCAGUGGCGAAGGCGACCACCUGGACUGAUACUGACACUGAGGUGCGAAAGCGUGGGGAGCAAACAGGAUUAGAUACCCCUGUAGUCCCUGUCUCUUAUAC